GUUGAAGGGCAAGGUGACAGGAGAGAUGGCAAAGCAGCAGAAAGAGCCUUGCAAGAAGGAAGCCUGCGACAUUCAAUCUUGCCUAUCCAAGAACAAUUUUCUUCCCCAAAGGUGCAUCAGAGUUAUUCAAUUGCUACAAUCGUGCUGCGAACAAUGCGAGUAUAAAUCAACUCAUUGUGGCUCUGUUUCUGGUCUCCUGAAGCAAAUAAACAAGUAAUGUGUGUACUACGAACAAAAGGGGCAGUGAGGAAUUGAGCUCUAUUUUUGUGGCUUUCUUGAGGAUCUUAUAUAUCAAUUGAAUUCUGGCUGCAAACUGCAGGAAUAAAUGAUGAGACAACGACUGAUUCUUAACGUCUCUUGCUGAAACAACUAAAAAGGUAGAAGGUAAAUCGGAGCACUUAGCAUGAACAACAGAAGCUGGGGAGAGGAGUCUCUAUGCCAUAUUCAAGAAAUAUUUAUAGAACUUGUAUACUGAACCCUAUAUUUUCUUUCUUGUUGGAAUGUAGGCCUAAUGCUUUUCAAACAGUAGUUAUCAACUUGUACUUUCAGAACCAUCUUUCUUUCCUUGAUGUCAAUUAUUGAAUGAAUAUAUCUCUAUGGAAAAACAGAGCAUUUUGCAA
Cynara cardunculus var. scolymus (artichoke) is the source of this 620-nucleotide RNA transcript. It is a transcript of the gene named cx9C motif-containing protein 4, with no coding region annotated. Lineage: Eukaryota; Viridiplantae; Streptophyta; Magnoliopsida; Asterales; Asteraceae. The transcript is spliced from 3 exons. The record is from RefSeq and is a predicted model, not a curated record.